This 755-nucleotide non-coding RNA is filed under the name Cicadetta abscondita. The record is from RNAcentral. Lineage: Eukaryota; Metazoa; Arthropoda; Insecta; Hemiptera; Cicadidae.
UUGAAGUUAAAUUCUAGUUUAACAUUUAAAUUUAAAAUUGUAUUACAUGUAAUUUUUUUGAUUGUUUUAGAUACUUCUAAAGGAAGUGUUUAGUAAAUGCGCAGUAUUUAAUAUUAUUAAUUAUAAAUAUUAGAAAUAGUAAUUUUAUUAAAAAGAAUCAAAUUUCGUGCCAGCAGUUGCGGUUAUACGAUUUCUUUAAUUUAAGUGUAUAAGUUUCAGUUAAUAUAAUAAUAAUAUAAAAUAAUUAUAAUUUUGGUGAAAUAUAUUUUGUUUUAAAAAAUUAAUUUUAUGUCUGAAAAAUUUUUGUAUAAACUAGGAUUAGAUACCCUAUUAUUAAAAAUGUAAUAAAAAUAACUUGAUUACUAUUAGAAAUGAUCUUUAAAAUCAAAGAAUUUGGCGGUAAUUUGUCUUAUCAGAGGAACCUGUUUUAUAAUUGAUAAUUCACGAUAUAAAAAACUUUAAUUUUAUUUGUAUAUCUCUGUCAAGAAUGUUUUAUUAGAAAAAUUUUCUAGCAUUUUAUAUAUUGUAUGUCAGGUCAAGGUGCAGUUUAUAUUAAAGAAAAAAUGGGUUACAUUUAAAUUUAUAUUGAAUUAUUUUUUUAUUAAAAAAAUAUGAAAUUGGAUUUGAUAAUAAAUUAAUUAAAUUUAAUUGAUUGAAAUUAGUUAUAAAUUAUGUACAUAUCGCCCGUCACUCUCAUUACAUUAUUGAGAUAAGUCGUAACAAAGUAGCUGUACCGGAAGGUGUAGCUAGAAAGA